AAACAAACAGAUAUAGCUAUAUCCAAAUAGAAAUCACAGGAGAUGCCAUCUUUCCUGGAGAGCCAUCUAUAACAGCUGAGGGCUAUAAAUGUGAGAAGUACUUGGGGAGCUUUUCCACACACACAGCAUCUGCAAGUAAGAAAGCAGGGAGGGGAGAACAUUGACCAAAAGGAGUGAGUUUGCAGUAGAAGUUAGGAGAGACAGGCAAGAGGAAAAAAAGAGGAAAACUAGGAGAGAAGGAAAAGAAAAAAUGGUAAUAUUUACAAAGGGAUGGGUGAUGAUGACCUUUGUUUUGUCCUUUGCUCUGUUGAACCACAUUUUUCAACCAUGAGAAAUCUCAAAAUUACUUUAACAGGAACUCAGAGAUGGAAAGACAAAAGUGACGUGCUGGAAUUCCACUGGGAGAGAGGUGGCCUGUUCCUUUAAGAAGGGCAGAGAAACUUCAUACAGCAAAAGGUUAGUCUGGCUUCCAGCAGAGGCAGAAGUGAAUAACAAGCCAAUCAACAUACAAAAUAUUGAACAGAGCAGCUCAGCCACAGCCAUCAGCCAAACAUGAGAUUAGUGUGUGGUUGCAGACAGGACGGAUCUUCCUGUCAUAACCUUUCUGAAUUGAGAAGAGCCAGACACUCUGAAGAGAUGAAAGAGAUCUGGGUUGAGGUCCCCAU
Pipra filicauda (Wire-tailed manakin) is the source of this 665-nucleotide long non-coding RNA. RefSeq lists it as uncharacterized. NCBI's taxonomy places the organism in Eukaryota, Metazoa, Chordata, Aves, Passeriformes, Pipridae. The record is from RefSeq and is a predicted model, not a curated record. The transcript has 3 exons.